RNAcentral lists this long non-coding RNA (557 nucleotides) under Ananas comosus (pineapple). Its description in RNAcentral is "long non-coding RNA (ACOM_LNC004265)". Lineage: Eukaryota; Viridiplantae; Streptophyta; Magnoliopsida; Poales; Bromeliaceae. The record is from RNAcentral.
CAUACUCUUUAAACUAUUAUCGAUGAUGCAUGAUGGAACAUUCGAUUCGACAAAUCGGCUUUCUUAGCUAUAAUCUAUACUACUAAAAUUAUUUAGAAACUAAAUUUUAUAAUAUUUCGACAGUAUUUGCCAAGUGAUUAAAGAAUCUAAAAAAUAAUUAUUUUGAUAGCCGAUGUGAUAUAUGUAUUUGUAAAUUUAACGGUGUAUAUCAAUUCAAUUUAGAUAAAAGUCUAAUAAAAAAUUAUAUUUACCAUCAAGAGUAAGAUCAAUAUUUUUUAUUUGAAAUUUAAAUAUUUUAUUACUGUUUUUAAUUUAUGAGAGUUUUAUUUUGAGCCGUUUGUUUUGAAGCUACUGGUUGGUUAUAUAACUAGGCAAACGAAUUAAAAAAUUUAGUUCCUAGAUAGUUUCAACACUAUAAAUUAUGUCGAACGGAGCCGAUUGCAAAAAAAGAUAUUUUAUCAAAAAAACUUGAAAGUACAGAAGCUUUCAUACUUUCAAAUGCAUAAUAUAGUCUGGAUCAGAAAUAUUUUGGUCAAUUCUUCUUCUUUUUUUUUUUU